This 251-nucleotide ribosomal RNA is filed under the name uncultured prokaryote. Its description in RNAcentral is "partial 16S rRNA". It matches the Rfam family "Bacterial small subunit ribosomal RNA", at positions 525 to 775 of the family's 1533-position model. The record is from RNAcentral.
ACGGAGGGUGCAAGCGUUAAUCGGAAUUACUGGGCGUAAAGCGCACGCAGGCGGUUUGUUAAGUCAGAUGUGAAAUCCCCGGGCUCAACCUGGGAACUGCAUCUGAUACUGGCAAACUUGAGUCUAGUAGAGGGGGGUGGAAUUCCAGGUGUAGCGGUGAAAUGCGUAGAGAUCAGGAGGAACACCAGUGGCGAAGGCGGCCCACUGGACUAAAACUGACGCUCAGGUGCGAAAGCGUGGGGAGCAAACAG